This 465-nucleotide ribosomal RNA is filed under the name uncultured bacterium. Its description in RNAcentral is "partial 16S ribosomal RNA". It matches the Rfam family "Bacterial small subunit ribosomal RNA", at positions 339 to 795 of the family's 1533-position model. The record is from RNAcentral.
CUACGGGCGGCUGCAGUGAGGAAUUUUGCGCAAUGGGGGGAACCCUGACGCAGCAACGCCGCGUGAGUGAUGAAGGCUUUCGGGUCGUAAAGCUCUGUCAAGUGGGAAGAACCUAUGCAGUGUUAAUAUCACUGUAUACUGACGGUACCACUGAAGGAAGCACCGGCUAACUCCGUGCCAGCAGCUGCGGUAAUACGGGGGGUGCAAGCGUUAUUCGGAAUCGUUGGGCGUAAAGGGCACGUAGGCGGCUUGGUAAGUCAGAUGUGAAAGCCCGGGGCUUAACCCCGGAAGUGCAUUUGGUACUGUCAGGCUUGAGUAUGGGAGAGGGAAGUGGAAUUCCUGGUGUAGAGGUGAAAUUCGUAGAUAUCAGGAGGAACACCGGUGGCGAAGGCGACUUCCUGGACCAAUACUGACGCUGAGGUGCGAAGGCGUGGGUAGCAAACAGGAUUAGAUACCCUAGUAGUC